RNAcentral lists this ribosomal RNA (464 nucleotides) under Vreelandella stevensii. RNAcentral's name for it is "partial 16S ribosomal RNA". It matches the Rfam family "Bacterial small subunit ribosomal RNA", at positions 338 to 795 of the family's 1533-position model. Lineage: Bacteria; Pseudomonadati; Pseudomonadota; Gammaproteobacteria; Oceanospirillales; Halomonadaceae. The record is from RNAcentral.
ACUACGGGGGCAGCAGUGGGGAAUAUUGGACAAUGGGCGAAAGCCUGAUCCAGCCAUGCCGCGUGUGUGAAGAAGGCCUUCGGGUUGUAAAGCACUUUCAGUGGGGAAGAAAGCCUUGGGGCUAAUACCCUCGAGGAAGGACAUCACCCACAGAAGAAGCACCGGCUAACUCCGUGCCAGCAGCCGCGGUAAUACGGAGGGUGCGAGCGUUAAUCGGAAUUACUGGGCGUAAAGCGCGCGUAGGCGGUCUGAUAAGCCGGUUGUGAAAGCCCCGGGCUCAACCUGGGAACGGCAUCCGGAACUGUCAGGCUAGAGUGCAGGAGAGGAAGGUAGAAUUCCCGGUGUAGCGGUGAAAUGCGUAGAGAUCGGGAGGAAUACCAGUGGCGAAGGCGGCCUUCUGGACUGACACUGACGCUGAGGUGCGAAAGCGUGGGUAGCAAACAGGAUUAGAUACCCCUGUAGUC